Molecule: transfer-messenger RNA, 402 nt
Filed under: Bacteroidales bacterium
Lineage: Bacteria; Pseudomonadati; Bacteroidota; Bacteroidia; Bacteroidales
Also listed under: 1 other name
Rfam family: transfer-messenger RNA
About the family: Bacterial tmRNA, also known as 10Sa RNA or SsrA, is named for its dual tRNA and mRNA-like properties.
Source: RNAcentral
GGGGCUGACGCUGGUUUUGACAGCAAGUAGAAAGGGUUUGUAAGCAUGCCGAGCGUUGUGAAGCUGGCUCGUUAAUCUCAGGACUCAAACUUUUAAAAGGCGAAUCAAAUUACGCUCUCGCUGCCUAAUUACGCAAAGCGAAUUAGCUUAAUUCCGGAGCCUAGGUGCUCCAGAACGAGAUGUCUCGCAGAGGGUUCCGUCCCGUUGCUCCCUGCAUACGAGGCACCAAUCAAAUGGGAAUAGCCAGAGCGAUGUCUCUAAGCACUGGUGAAACUUUAGAGGAUAAGGGUUAGCUCGGUUGCCUUGCACCUGGUUACCCCCGACAAUUAAGAAAGGCUAAGCAUGUAGAAAGCAAAUUGGUUCCUUGUUUGGACGAGGGUUCGAACCCCUCCAGCUCCACUA